UGGGGAAUAUUGGACAAUGGGCGCAAGCCUGAUCCAGCCAUGCCGCGUGUGUGAAGAAGGCCUUUUGGUUGUAAAGCACUUUAAGCGAGGAGGAGGCUACUUGGAUUAAUACUCUAGGAUAGUGGACGUUACUCGCAGAAUAAGCACCGGCUAACUCUGUGCCAGCAGCCGCGGUAAUACAGAGGGUGCGAGCGUUAAUCGGAUUUACUGGGCGUAAAGCGUGCGUAGGCGGCUUCUUAAGUCGGAUGUGAAAUCCCUGAGCUUAACUUAGGAAUUGCAUUCGAUACUGGGAAGCUAGAGUAUGGGAGAGGAUGGGAGAAUUCCAGGUGUAGCGGUGAAAUGCGUAGAGAUCUGGAGGAAUACCGAUGGCGAAGGCAGCCGUCUGGCCUAAUACUGACGCUGAGGUACGAAAGCAUGGGGAGCAAACAGG
Molecule: ribosomal RNA, 430 nt
Filed under: Acidobacteriota bacterium
Lineage: Bacteria; Pseudomonadati; Acidobacteriota
Description: Acidobacteria bacterium partial 16S ribosomal RNA
Rfam family: Bacterial small subunit ribosomal RNA
Source: RNAcentral